Molecule: ribosomal RNA, 445 nt
Filed under: uncultured bacterium
Lineage: Bacteria
Description: partial 16S ribosomal RNA
Rfam family: Bacterial small subunit ribosomal RNA
Source: RNAcentral
GUGAGGAAUAUUGGUCAAUGGGCGGGAGCCUGAACCAGCCAAGUCGCGUGAAGGAAGAAGGAUCUAUGGUUCGUAAACUUCUUUUGCAGGGGAAUAAAGUGCAGGACGUGUCCUGUUUUGUAUGUACCCUGAGAAUAAGGAUCGGCUAACUCCGUGCCAGCAGCCGCGGUAAUACGGAGGAUCCGAGCGUUAUCCGGAUUUAUUGGGUUUAAAGGGUGCGUAGGUGGUUUGAUAAGUCAGCGGUGAAAGUUUGCAGCUUAACUGUAAAAAUGCCGUUGAAACUGUCGGACUUGAGUGUAAAUGAGGUAGGCGGAAUGCGUGGCGUAGCGGUGAAAUGCAUAGAUAUCACGCAGAACUCCGAUUGCGAAGGCAGCUUACUAAGCUACAACUGACACUGAAGCACGAAAGCGUGGGGAUCAAACAGGAUUAGAUACCCGUGUAGUCC